GCCAGUGUGGUAAAGUGGUUUGAGGUUGGACUACAACUCUGGAGACCAGGGUUCGAUUCCCAGUCUGGCU
This 70-nucleotide transfer RNA is filed under the name Phrynosoma platyrhinos (Desert horned lizard). RNAcentral's name for it is "tRNA-OTHER". The record is from RNAcentral. Lineage: Eukaryota; Metazoa; Chordata; Lepidosauria; Squamata; Phrynosomatidae.